RNAcentral lists this ribosomal RNA (427 nucleotides) under Okibacterium sp. RNAcentral's name for it is "bacterial SSU rRNA". It matches the Rfam family "Bacterial small subunit ribosomal RNA", at positions 67 to 507 of the family's 1533-position model. Lineage: Bacteria; Bacillati; Actinomycetota; Actinomycetes; Micrococcales; Microbacteriaceae. The record is from RNAcentral.
CGAUGAAGCCCAGCUUGCUGGGUGGAUUAGUGGCGAACGGGUGAGUAACACGUGAGUAACCUGCCCUUGACUCUGGGAUAAGCGCUGGAAACGGCGUCUAAUACCGGAUAUGACAACCGACGGCAUCGUCUGGUUGUGGAAAGAAUUUUGGUCAAGGAUGGACUCGCGGCCUAUCAGCUUGUUGGUGAGGUAAUGGCUCACCAAGGCGACGACGGGUAGCCGGCCUGAGAGGGUGACCGGCCACACUGGGACUGAGACACGGCCCAGACUCCUACGGGAGGCAGCAGUGGGGAAUAUUGCACAAUGGGCGAAAGCCUGAUGCAGCAACGCCGCGUGAGGGACGACGGCCUUCGGGUUGUAAACCUCUUUUAGCAGGGAAGAAGCGAAAGUGACGGUACCUGCAGAAAAAGCACCGGCUAACUACGUG